Molecule: ribosomal RNA, 479 nt
Filed under: uncultured bacterium
Lineage: Bacteria
Description: partial 16S ribosomal RNA
Rfam family: Bacterial small subunit ribosomal RNA
Source: RNAcentral
GAUGAACGCUGGCGGCGUGCUUAACACAUGCAAGUCGAACGAAGCACUUUAACCUGAUUCUUCGGAUGAAGGUUUUUGUGCCUGAGUGGCGGACGGGUGAGUAACGCGUGGGUAACCUGCCUCAUACAGGGGGAUAACAGUUAGAAAUGACUGCUACUACCGCAUAAGACCACCGAGCCGCAUGGCUCGGUGGGAAAAACUCCGGUGGUAUUAUAUGGACCCGCGUCUGAUUAGGUAGUGGGUAGGGUAACGGCCUACCAAGCCAACGAUCAGUAGCCGACCUGAGAGGGUGACCGGCCACACUGGGACUGAGACACGGCCCAAACUCCUACGGGAGGCAGCAGUGGGGAAUAUUGCCAAAUGGGGGAAACCCUGAUGCAGCGACGCCGCGUGAGCGAAGAAGUAUUUCGGUAUGUAAAGCUCUAUCAGCAGGGAAGAAGAUGACGGUACCUGACGAAGAAGCACCGGCUAAAUACGUG